UGCUGUUUUGGCGGAAAAACGUGUAAAGUUUAGGACUUUAGUAUGAGGAUAGCUCAGGCAGUA
Molecule: transfer RNA, 63 nt
Filed under: Gammarus wautieri
Lineage: Eukaryota; Metazoa; Arthropoda; Malacostraca; Amphipoda; Gammaridae
Description: tRNA-Leu
Source: RNAcentral